AAAAAAGAUCUGUCAUCGUCAUCCUUUUCUACAUUAUAAACAAAGGAGCUUAUUGAUAUCGCAGUUCCACUAGGUCACGAUCGCACUACGAUCUGUGAAAAACAUGCAAAUUUUGACGAUGGUAGUGCGAUCGUGUAGAUCGCAGUAAGGUUGUAACACGGUCGUGGGGAGGUCUUCAAGAUCGUGAUGAGCUUGGCCAACUUCGAACAUGUUCAAACCAUGACCUGACUACGACCAUCACGUUCUCACUGCGACCAAACUACGCUUCCAUUACGACUAUGUCACGUUUAAACCACGCUGGUGAAGACCAUAGAAUGAUUCUAGCACGCCCAUGCCGUCCUCAUCACGCUCUUCUUACGACAUGACUAAGUUCAUACUACGACCUUCAUACUCUUUGUCAUUGUCACAUUAAAUAUAUAAAAGUUCUCCAAGUUUUGUUUGUCUGAAUGUAAUUUGGACCUCUUGUACUUUUUCUCUAAAUCUAGGUUCAUACUGCCGAUCAGAUCAACUCGAUGAUACCAAUUGUCCAAAUUUCCACGACCGAACUCAACCAAAGUCUUGAUCGGGCUUCUUUACGACUUCUAUGGACUACUAUCCGACUGUACACGAUUUUAACUCGACCAUUCACGACUCCUUAAUGACUCCAGCACGACUCCAUUACGACAACAAAAUAAAUACUUUUUCGAUAAAUCCGAUCGAUUCACGAUCUCCACACGAUCUUUACUCGACUAGCUAGACCAAAUCAACUAUUCUCGAUCUCAACCUGAUUUUGACCAGACCCAAUCGACCUGACCAUAUUGGGAUCGUAGGGAUAGCCGGGAAUUGGUUGGAUUGCUCAAUUGCAGUAUGAAAACGUCUGAAUUUUUAAUUCCCCAAGCAUUAAGACUAGUGUUACCCUUGUCCGUCCGUCCGUAAGUACUUACGUCCCCACAAUAUCAGUUUCUUUCUGUAAUUAAUUGUGCCUAAACCAAAUUUUAUUAAACGUAUACGCAAUGCUUAUUACCCUAACCCAAAGUUAAAGUGCGUAUUUGGGUGGCUGUUCUUGAUAAAUGACCCUUAUAAUGUUAAAUACCAGCUGAGGUAUUAUAGAUCUGUAUCCCAUGGAUACAUUCUCCGUUUAUUUGGUGAGUUUCAUUAGAAGUUCUGAGAAAAUCAUACAUUUUAAAUUUCUACAUAGAAAUAAAGCAGUUGGAUUUGUGGGCACGGUGGUUAGAGCUCAGAGACAAGAUAAUAGCUGUGACGGAGCUUGAAGAGAGCAUAGAAGACAAACAAGAAGAUGUAGACAACAACGGGCGUCAAGAAAUCUAGGUGAGGCAGCGGCUGACACGACGACCACUGUGUUGGCAGUAUGAAAGACUUGCACUCACGCUACAAAGAGUAAUCCAAUGGUUAUAAAAACUUUCUCAUAGUGAACGCUGAAAUGUAAUAGGAGUUUUAUUGCUCCUUUCUUGAAAAUGACACCACAAAAUGAGAAUAAAGCAGUUGGUUUUGUGAGCAAGGUGGUAAGAGCUCAGAGAGACAGGUUAAUAGCUGUGACGGAGCUUGAAAAUAGCAUAGAAGACGAACAAGAAGACGUAUGAGAGACUGACACUAAAUCAACAAAAAGGAAUAAUGAAUAAUCCAAUGGAUAAAAAAACUUCCUGAUAGUGGACGCUGAUCAGAUAUGUUAUAUGUCACAUAAAUCCCCAAAAUUUGGCCCAAAGCAGAAUUUCAAUCCCGGGA
Molecule: long non-coding RNA, 1722 nt
Filed under: Mytilus galloprovincialis (Mediterranean mussel)
Lineage: Eukaryota; Metazoa; Mollusca; Bivalvia; Mytilida; Mytilidae
Source: RNAcentral